RNAcentral lists this ribosomal RNA (353 nucleotides) under uncultured bacterium. RNAcentral describes it as "partial 16S ribosomal RNA". It matches the Rfam family "Bacterial small subunit ribosomal RNA", at positions 338 to 708 of the family's 1533-position model. The record is from RNAcentral.
CCUACGGGCGGCAGCAGUGGGGAAUAUUGCUCAAUGGGGGAAACCCUGAUGCAGCAACGCCGCGUGAAUGAUGACGGCUUUCGGAUUGUAAAGCUCUUUUUUUAGGGACGAUAAUGACGGUAUCUGACGAGUAAGCAACGGCUAACUCCGUGCCAGCAGCCGCGGUAAUACGGAGGUGGCGAGCGUUGUGCGGAUUCACUGGGCGUAAAGGGGGCGUAGGCGGAAUAUUAAGUGAGAUGUGAAAUACUCGGGCUCAACAUGAGUACUGCAUUUGAAACUGGUAGUCUAGAGUGUAGGAGAGGUAGGUGGAAUUCCUGGUGUAGCGGUGAAAUGCGUAGAGAUUAAGAGGAACA